CGAACGGGUGCGUAACACGUGAGCAACCUACCGAAAUGAGGGGGAUAGCCGUCCCAACGGACGGGUAAUACCGCAUACGCUCGAGACCAGGCAUUUGGACUCGAGGAAACCUCCGGGGCAUUUCGAGGGGCUCGCGGCCUAUCAGCUAGUUGGUGAGGUAACGGCUCACCAAGGCGACGACGGGUAGCUGGUCUGAGAGGAUGGCCAGCCACACUGGGACUGAGAUACGGCCCAG
RNAcentral lists this ribosomal RNA (235 nucleotides) under uncultured bacterium. RNAcentral's name for it is "partial 16S ribosomal RNA". It matches the Rfam family "Bacterial small subunit ribosomal RNA", at positions 99 to 334 of the family's 1533-position model. The record is from RNAcentral.